RNAcentral lists this ribosomal RNA (534 nucleotides) under Triticum aestivum (bread wheat). RNAcentral's name for it is "partial small subunit ribosomal RNA". The record is from RNAcentral. Lineage: Eukaryota; Viridiplantae; Streptophyta; Magnoliopsida; Poales; Poaceae.
GAAAAGGGGUAGCGCGGGGGCAGGUGAGGAGCGGCACCCGCGGGGCUAGCCCUCGGUGGCGCGAGCAGGGGCAGCAACAGGCGGCAGUGGAGCUGGAGACGAAGGAGGAGCUGGUGCUGGAGCUCAUCUUCUGGCGGAGUUACAUCUCUAGCUGCGGCGAGGAGGUGCAGCCGGUAGUGGAGGCAGGCGAUGCCAGCGGCAGCAAAAGGUACCGAGGCCGUGGCGGGACGUCGAUGAUUCGGCAGCUUCCCGGUGGAACACGGGGCGCUGCUACCUCGGGUCCUCGGUCUGCGGUGACAGCUACUGCUGAUGAUGAUGAGCCCUCCACGGAUGAUGAUGUACGUCGGGCGACUGCCGCUGGUCCUCAUCAAAUCCUCCUAGGGUCCAUCCUCCGGACGCGGAGAAAGCUAGACAUAGGGACAAACACGAUCGGAAGAAUUCCGUUUGAACAAAUUGAAUACAGACAUGAGUCUAUAACAACGAAGGCGACUGAACAGAUACUAGCUCGAGAACAUAAGCUCGGGAGCUCCGGGG